This 1391-nucleotide ribosomal RNA is filed under the name Bacillus sp. (in: firmicutes). RNAcentral describes it as "Bacillus sp. (in: Bacteria) partial 16S ribosomal RNA". It matches the Rfam family "Bacterial small subunit ribosomal RNA". The record is from RNAcentral. Lineage: Bacteria; Bacillati; Bacillota; Bacilli; Caryophanales; Bacillaceae.
AAGGCUAUGGGGGGUGCUAUAAUGCAAGUCGAGCGAAUGGAUUAAGAGCUUGCUCUUAUGAAGUUAGCGGCGGACGGGUGAGUAACACGUGGGUAACCUGCCCAUAAGACUGGGAUAACUCCGGGAAACCGGGGCUAAUACCGGAUAACAUUUUGAACCGCAUGGUUCGAAAUUGAAAGGCGGCUUCGGCUGUCACUUAUGGAUGGACCCGCGUCGCAUUAGCUAGUUGGUGAGGUAACGGGUCACAGCAACGUCGACGACUGCGUGAUCGCCUGAUGAACUGUCGAUCUACGAGGACGUCGGAUCUCGCAUGACAAGUCGACGAGCAGCCGUGAUAUGAAGGCUUCGGUCGUAAACUCUGUGUAUGAGACAUGCUAGUGAUUAGCUGGCACUUGACGUACUACCAGAAGGCACGCUAACUACGUGCAGCAGCGCGUUAUACGUAGUUGGCAGCGUUAUCCGGAAUUAUGGCGUAAAGCGCGCGCAGUGUUUCUUUAGUUUGAUGUGAAGCCCACGGCUCAUCGUGAGGGUCAUUGGAAACUGGGAGACUUGAGUGCAGAGAGGAAGUUGAAUUCCAUGUGUAGCGGUGAAAUGCGUAGAGAUAUGAGGACACCAGUGGGGAGGGGACUUUCUGUCUGUAACUGACAUGAGGCCGAAAGCGUGGGGAGCAAACAGGAUUGGUUACCCUGUUGUUCACGCCUUAAACGAUGAGUGCUAAGUGUUGAGGGUUUCGGCCCUUUGUGUGAAGUUAAGCAUUAAGCAUUCGCCUGGGGAGUAGGGCGCAAGGUGAAACUCAUAGAAUUGGCGGGGGCCCCGCCAGCGGUGGAGCAGUGGUUUAGUUGGAACCAACGGGAGGAACCUUACCAGGUUUUGACUUCUUUUGCCACCCUUGGGGUAGGGUUUUUCUUUGGGGGCGAAGUGCCAGUUGUGCCUUGGUGUUCUUCAGCUCGUUUCUGGGGAUGUUGGGUUAUUUCCGGAAAGGGGGCCAACCCUGGUUUUUGGUUGCCUCCAUUAAUUUGGCCAUUUUAAGGGGAUUCCGGGGGCCAACCCGGAGAAAGGGGGGGAGGAGUUAAAUUCUCCUUCCCCUUUUGGCCUUGGGUUCCCCACUGGUUCCAAUGGCGGUUCAAAGGGGUGCCAGGACCGGGGGGGGGAGUUAUUUUCUUAAACCCUUUUCCAUUUGGGAUUUUGGGUGCAAAUUGCCUUCCAGGAAGCGGGAUUCGUUGUUAUUGGGGGUCCACCAGGCCCCGGGAAUUAGGUUCCCGGCCUUGUUCCCCCCCCCCCGCCCCACCCGGGGAUUUGUUACCACCGAAAUUGGGGGGGUUACCUUUUUGGAGCCAGCCGCCUAAGGUGGGACAGAUGAUUGGGGGAAGUCGAACAAGUUGGCCUUGGUG